UACGGAGGGUGCAAGCGUUAUCCGGAUUUACUGGGUUUAAAGGGUGCGCAGGCGGUUAUGUAAGUCAGUGGUGAAAUCUCUAGGCUUAACCUGGAAAUUGCCGUUGAUACUAUAUAUCUUGAAUGCUGUGGAGGUAAGCGGAAUAUGUCAUGUAGCGGUGAAAUGCUUAGAUAUGACAUAGAACACCUAUUGCGAAGGCAGCUUACUACAGGGACAUUGACACUGAGGCACGAAAGCGUGGGGAUCAAACAGG
This 253-nucleotide ribosomal RNA is filed under the name uncultured bacterium. RNAcentral's name for it is "partial 16S ribosomal RNA". It matches the Rfam family "Bacterial small subunit ribosomal RNA", at positions 524 to 776 of the family's 1533-position model. The record is from RNAcentral.